UAGAGAGAUCCAAAGUCAGGUCACUAGCAACAUCGUCGUAGCCGUUUGGAGCGCAAUUUAGAGUCGCAUUCUGUAGACGACCGUUGUCCCCUAAAUCGAAAGCGUAGUAGAUAUAUGGUUUAGGGGAAUUCGGACUCUUAUAGUACAUGACCAGUCUUUUGGAUUCCAUGACCAGGCUAUAGGCGCCAUCGGAGUUCUCCUUCUGUGAGGCUCGGCUCACAAGCCUAGUCGCACCUCCGACCCGAAGAGAUUGACCCACCAAGAGAGUAUCAGUAGGAGAGUCGAAGCUUUGCCAGAUAAAGUUACCCUUGGAAUCAUGAAGCACCAUGUUGCCAUUAGCCAGCAAUUGCAAGCCAACAACACCUUUAUUGGCUGUGUUGGUUUGCCAAGCGACCCUGCCAUCAGCAUCUGCCAAGACAAGAUUUCCGUCCUCCCCUAAGGAGAGAGUGGCAUUUUCGCGAACUGAGUUGCCUCGGUUGGCUUCCCAAACCCAGCGCAUUAAUGAUUCUGACCUCACAGUACCCAUACGCAGAGCAAGGGUGUAUGCAUUUGGGGUGGUGUUAUAAAACAUUAGUUGGAAAGGGGAAGUACCUAAGGGCAGUGGACGAUAAUCUGGACCAUACUCGGAAAUGUAUUCCCCAAACUCUCCUUCAUUGACGUACUUGAAUGUUGAAGAAGGAGGAACAGAGGCAUGGGCAAUGAAGGAUAUUGAGAAGAGAAAACAAAGAGAGAACAAUGGCAGCUCCAUUGGACUGGAGGACACUUCUUUCUGGUUGCUUGCUUGAUUUAGGUGGCUUUGAUAUGAAACCAAGGCGGAGACUGGUCACCUUUUAUAAGCUGUUUAGGAUGGCAUUUUUUGUACUUGAAAACUCUCCAUUUUCUAUAAUUAAAUCAAAGAUUCUUCUUGGUGGGCGCUUUGCUGUUCAAGAAAAGAGAGGAUAAUGGGGAUGGAAGCUUGAUGGGCUGUUGCCCAUUAUUUUCCUUGAUCUGUGAUAAUGGUGGGGUGGCUUCUUCUUUUUUUCUUUCCUUUUCUAUUUUCUUUUUUUUUCUCUUGAUAAUUUUGUUUUCCUUUUAAUUUCGUAGCCAUGCUAUGUGGAAAUAUUACCAUAUGUUCUCUACAAAUUGAUCUACAUGAUACCAUUUUUAACAUUUGGUGCUGAUUUUGAAUAAAUGAGCAAAUUUAGUAACAGAGUGUAAAAGAUUUUAUACACUGCCAGAAAAUCGAUAAAUACAAAUGAAAAUAUUGAGGGAAUAUUUUCGUUGGUAAAUUGCCAACGGAUUUUACCGAUAAAAAUAUUCUCUCGGUAUUUACCAAGAAAAUUACAGUGAAAAAAAUUUAAAACAAAGCAAAAAAAAAAAAACCAAUGACGUGCCAUUUUUACCAAUGAAAUUAAUUCUGUCGGUAAAAUCUAUUGGUAAAUUCGUUGGUAAACUGUAAUAACUAUUUAUCAUGUCAAUUACAAAGGGAAUUACUAAUAAAAAUUCCGUCGAUAUUUUUCUGAGAGCUCUGAAACUAUUCACUUUCCAAUUGCACUGUUAAUUAUAGUUUUUUUGACAAAAUCACCAAAGAAUUGAAAAGUCGUCGAUGUUAUUUGACAGUUUUCUAAAAAUUUUCAAUUAAAUUAAAAUUUUAAAUUAAAUAUUACAGACGGAAUCACUGAUGGAUUGAAAAGUCGUCGGUAAUAUUUGACAAUUUCUGAAAUUUUUUGAUUAAAUUAAAAUUUUAAAUUAAAUAUUACAAACGAAAUCACCAACGGAUUAAUUAAAAAUAUUAAUAUUUAAUUAUAUGUCGAUAAAAUGCCCAAAUAAAAAGCUUAGAAUCUAUAAUUUCAUAACAGACGAAGCUCCUUUCUUCCUCUUCUUCUUCUUCCUCCCCAUAUGUAAAAAACAUCAAUAACUAUUUUUUUCUCUUCUCUUCUCUCUUCCACUCCUUCUCUUCUCCUCCAUGCUCAAGUAUGUAUUCUUCUCCUUUCUCCUUUUUUCUUUUCAGUUUUUUUUUAAUUAAUAUACUUUAUGAAUUUUUUUUUCUCUUCUUAGCUUCACUUGCAACCGCAUUAAGGUAGGAUUUUUUUUCCUUCUUUUUUCAUGUUUUUUAUUCACUAUAUUUGUUUUUUAUUUGUUUUUUAUUUUUUUUGUUCUUAAUAAUUGUACGAAUAUUGUUGUAGGAGUUUUUUUUUCCAUAUGAUUUUUUUUCCAAGCGUUUUGAGUAUUAUAGAGUGUUGAUUUAUAUUAAUUCAAUUAUUUUAUAGUUUCAUAAAAUGGAUUUUUUAAAAAUAUUAUUAAAUAAUUACCGACGGAAUGAAGCGGAUAAAGGGUAUUUUUCCGAGGGAAAUACCGACGGAAUGAAGUAAAUAAUUUUUUUACGUGUCUUUUCCGUCAAUAAAUCCAUCGGUAAUAAUAUUUUUUUUUACCAACAGACUUACCGACGAAAAAAAAAUUAUAGAAAAAAAUUCACCGACAGAGUAUUUUUGUUGGUAAAUUAAUUACCAACGGAAUGAUAGUACAAAUACCAACAAAAAAUUUCGUCCAUAAAUCUAAAGAUUGUGCUAGUAAUAAAAACACAUUUAAAUUGAAAAAAUGUCAAAUAUAAUUUUUGUUAUUUUCACAUCAACAGAUGAAAAUCUUUCUAAAUCACUUUAAAAAAAAUCACCAAUUUGGACAAUUUGUUUUAUUAUUUCAAAUACAUUUUAAGAAAUAGUAUUAUAUACAAUGUAAAUACAGCACCGAAUACUUUUUUAAUAUUACAUAGCUGGCAAAAGUUAAGCAUUUGACAGUGCGAAAAGUACUCUUGAUUAUGAUUCAAGUGAGUGAAGCCUGCUUUAUGCAAAAUAAAAAAAUGUAAAUCGCAUGAUGGCUUUGAACAUGGCAGGAACUAGAAACAUUGAAUGAUAGAUGCCGCUUGACUUCUGGUCAAAUACUAACAACUAAGAAAUCCUGUGGUCAAAGCUCACGUCUUUAAACAAAGUUAUCCGAAUAUAGCCAAUGAGCUUGGGACUCGGCGCCACUAUCCGCUUCUUGAAUACGACGACUAACAAGACAAAAUAUUGAUUUCUGAAAAUUUCAGAAUAUUUUCCUAACCCAUAAAACUAGAAAAAUGUGUUCAUGUUAUAUUGUUUUUCAUUUGAGAAAAAAUAUGACAUUCUUAACGUUUUUAAAUACACAAAUACUUUUUUUAUCGUCAUUUAUCAUUAUAAAUAUUUCACCUACUUAAAUUGAAUGAGAUAUAAAAAUAAACAUAACACUAUAAUACUUUUCACUAUUAGAGUGUAUUAAUAAUAAAGUUUUACACUCAUGAACAAUAUUAAUUAAUAUUCUUAAUGAUUGUUAUAAUCAUUCCACAGUUAAUCUGCAAUGACAUUUUUGAUCAAAUUAAUUUGUUUGAAUAUUUUUUUUUUAUUAUCAUAUAUGUCUGGAUCUACUUAAAUAUAUUUUGAUUAGUUUCACGGGCCAUGAAGUUAACGUCCAUGUAAGUUUAUAGUAGCUUGAAAUUUAUAUAACUUGAACCGGUAAUUUCUUGGGAACAAACCUAAGAUCUGAUCAGUGGGCUAUACCCCUUGGAAUUGUAUUGUAUCUAUAUAAAUACUUGUACCAUAUUAGUACUGUCCUCAUUUAUAAAUUUUAAUCUUUCUCUACUAUAUUUUAUAAAUAAUCGAUCAGCUCUAAUAUGCAAUACACCAGGAACAUUAUGAUAGCCAUUAUUACUCAUCAUACAUACAAAAAUUAAUUAUUUGAAUGUUGCGUGUGUUCACUUGGCAGUUAGCACCACUUGGCAUGGAAAAAUUAUUUCCUUAUGAAGAUAAUGCAUCCAUAAAUGCAGAUAAAUCAUUAGUUAUUCCUUGCCAACCAUUAUUGACAAAUAUGAACAUACGAGAACAAGCAGCCAUGACAUUUUGCGCCACAGGUGAAGCUCUUUUACCAUGAAUAAAAUUUUUUUAUGCUGGAGGCCAAGCAGCUAGAGUUGGAACAAGAUUUACAUAUAUUUAAAUAAUCAAGAAUCACAUGCUUAUGAUUAUUUUAAAAAAUUAACAUAUAUACAUCAAAAUAUGAAUUCCAAUUUGGAUUACCUUGAAUUUCUAGUUGCUCAUCUCCUUUAAUGGCUGGCUUAAUUAAUUCAGUUUCUACAGAAGUAAAUGCUAUUAGCACCUUUUUUUUUUUUUUUAAAUAUAAAUGGAUACUGUCCCAAGUGAAUGCUGAAAAACGUUCAGUUACCGACUUGGAAACUUCAAGGAAGACUACGUGUAUAUUUUUUUGCUCUUUCCAUUUUUGCUUCUCUUGUGUGGGCUCGUUUGCAUCGCAUUUAGAAUGGUCCAAUAUGUAGGCGAGCUUGACUUUGUACGUGGAGGGCAAUAUUUUUAAAAUAACGAGUCGACCGUUAAAAUUUUAUGAUUUUAUAAGUUAAUAUGUAUUUUACACCAGGAAUGCCUCCAGUCUUUCUUCUCCCCCGUACAGGCAAGACAACCACAUCUUUUUCUCACCGAAGCACCCCGCCCCGGCCACUGCAUGCAUAAAUUCUACAUGCAGUAUCCAAGGUUUAAGUUUUUGAUGGGCUUAGCCCAUGCCAGCCAGCCCACCCUAAAAAAGAUAGCCCAAAUAUGCUGGACUGAUGACAGCCCAGCUAUAUAUUUAAUUAUAAUAUAAUAAUAAUAUAUAUUAUUAGAAAAACAAAAACAAAUUCUGUAAUAUCAUAUUGUUUAUUUAUACUAUAAAAUAUAAAUUUAGUAUUAAAAUACCUAGUUUUCUUCAAAAUAUUUCUAAAACAAUUUUAAAAAUUUUCAAAAAAAAAUCUUAAGACUUCUAAAUUAAUUUUCCUUUUUAAAAAACAAAAAAAUAUCUUGUUUUCAAACAUAUAGUUAAAUUCUAAGAUUUGUUUAAAUAUAUUUUUUUAAAUAUUUUUUUAGAUUUUUCUUAUAUUUAAAAAUAAUAUUAUAGCCCUGAUUAUAUUAAUUCCAUCACAACCUGAUAGUACAUAUUUAUAGUAAAUUAAUAUGUAAAUUUUUCCCUAACGGACUGUAUUAAGUUUUUAGCUACACAUGGUCUACCUUGAUGCUUGUAGGACAACGCAAAAGAAAUGUUCUACUACUUCCUCAUCUCAAAUGUAUAUCAUUAUAAUAUCAUUUUUAUAUUUUUUUUAUAAUUUUUUUUAGAGGGGUGGAGCAUUUAUAUACUAUGUCCACAUUUUAACUGUUGUAUAUUAAAGGAUAGGCCGCCCUCGUCGUCGUCGUCGUCAUCAUCAACUACUCAUUCCAACAUUGUAGACAUCACUCUAUAGGGUUCCGAUUGAUUGCUUAAAUUAAUUUCUGAAAAAUAAGUUCAACAGUGGACCUUACGUGUAAGCAAAGACUUUCAAACAUAAUGGCUGGCAAUUGGCUAGCAUUCAACAAGUCGACUAUUGAGAAUUUUCAUUGUCAAACAGAGAAAUGGAUAGAUAAAAGCUCUCAAAGCUGAAAACUAUCCUCGCCUCCCCUAUAUAUAGUUCCAUCUCCUUCCCUUAAUCCAUCACAUCGCAAGAGAAAGGAAAGAUGACAGAUGAUUGCUCUGGUAAGCGAUUGAUUAUUGUAACGUGCUUAUUUAUGUAUACAACAGUGCAUGAGAACCAUGCCAAUGAGUUUAUAUAUAUAUAUAUAUGGUUAUACAUUUAAUUUAACCAUUCUUUUUGAUACAUUUAACUAUAAUUCUUGUUAAUCUUAGAUGCGGGAAAGAGCUCGUGGCCGGAGCUAGUGGGAAUAAACGGAGAAGUGGCGGCCAAAAUCAUCGUAAGAGAGAAUCCCAAGGUUCGUGCUGGGAUUGUGAAGGAAGGAAUGAUGGUGACCAUGGAUUUCCGUUGCGACAGGGUCCGAGUCUGGGUUGAUAAAUAUGGAAUUGUGAAAGAUAUUCCACAAAUUGGUUGAUGAGCAGACGAAAUAUUUUGUUGUUUAAGCUAUACUGAUAAAUAUACGUGUAAGAUUCAUCAUGAAGAUUGUACCAAAUAACCAGCAUAUGUAAUCAUGCUAAUUACAUAAAUUAAUCUGCAAUAAAAUGGUUCGUUUUUUGUAAGAGCAUCUUAUAUUAUUUUAAUAUCAUCUUUAUAGUGUUUUAUUAUUAUAAUUCAUAAUAAUAUAAAGUCCCAGAACGUGUACACAAUGAAAGAAUAUGACAAUAAAUUUUACGAAGUUCAAGCAUGUUCUACAGAUUACAGCAUGCAUGCUCCCAUCAUCAACUCUUGGAAGCAGCCAUUCUCUCCAACUUCUUCUCUUUUACUUUCUCUCACAGAUUUAAAACCUCUAUCCUCAAUCGUUGCUUCCUCUCUCAAUUUCUCCACUCCAGAUCUAAAAGCCACCCGUUUUUGCCUCCCUCUCGACUUCAACAUCGCGCGAGUGCUGUUGUGGGAGGAGCUUUUUAUUGCAUGGUGAAUUGGUUUAUUAGAGAAAAUAAUGAUUCAACAUCCCGAGUGCUGCUGUAAGAGGAGACCUUUUCAAUUAUUUGAUGAGACCAUUAAAGAAGGGAUCAAGCCUGAUUAUGCUAUUAGGCCAUGCUGGUUUGCUAGAAGAAGCAGAAAAUUUGAUAGAGAUGACCCAUCCUGGUGCUUGUAUAGCCAGUUCACACUCCUAUUGCAGAGAGCAUUGCAAAGAAAGUAAUGGAAUUGAAACCUAAUUAUCUAGGUUACUUAAUUAACUAAUGUCUACAGAGUGGUUGGCUGAUGGGAUGAUGCUGUUAAAAUUCGGAAUUUAAUGACGAAAAGAGAGGUGUUGGCCAAAUGAUAGGCAGAAGUUGUAUUGAGACUGUGGAAAGCAUCUUAGCAAUUUUCAAGUGUAAAUCAUCUUGGCAAUUUUCAAGGCUGAAGAAAAGCUUCAAGUUCUCAAGAUAUCCACAGAGCCCAAUUAUCUCAAGAAUCUGGUAAUAGUUUCGAAGAGCCCAAUUAACUAUAAAAAAUUGCAUUUAUGAGUGUUCAAGUACAAAACUAGCCUUGCAGAAAAAAUCCAUUGGCUUCGUUAACGGGGUAAGAUUGUAUUUUCACCAUGGUACAAUUAUUUUUAAAAUAUUAUGAGGGGUUAGAUUUUUUAUUUUUCUUUUUAUAUGCAAAGUAAAAUCACUACUUUAGCUUUGGAUUUAAAAAUUCUUAUGUUUUAAGCUCAAAGGUUUUUAAGUACUUUUAUUUUUCAGAAAUAGUGCAAUUACUUUUAUUCUUUUUGAGGAAAAAAAAAAUAUAACUCUCUUGUAAUGGUGUUUUGGUCAUUUGCAUUUUUGUUGCAAUUUUGAAAGUUGCUUAGGGGUGUUUUUGUAAUUAUCAUAUAUUAAUAUAAAAAACUGUGUUGGUGCUUACAAAGUACAUGCUAGUGUGUGUGCGACCCCCAUGCUAUUCUGACGGUGCAUGAGGGGUUGUCCAGCUACCAAACACUGACUUCAUGGGCAGACGUUUGAAAGGUCUCGACAUCCCCGAUCAUAAGAGGUUACGUGAGUACCAUCAUUCAUAAUGGUUUGACGCUAGCGAUAAUUUCCCCCCUUUUUCUCUAUCUCACCACCUAGAUUUUUGUGACAACCCCUUAAAAAUUCAAGAAUAACCCUUUAAUUUGUUGGUUUUUCAGAUUUGAUCUAUUUUAUUUUGAUUUUGAUUUUUUAUUGAAUAAUCUAUAAAAUUGGUUUGCCUUUUUAAUUUCACAUUUCUUAAAUUUUUUUAUCUUUCAAAUUUGAUCCUCGUUAUGUUGAGUGCUAUUUUUAUGUUUGAGUCAUUUUUUUAAAUUGAUUUUGUUUUUCAAUUUCACAUUCCUUUGUUUUUUUUCCUAUCAAACUUAAUACAUGUUCUUUUAAUUACUAAUUUUUUUAGCCUUUACAAGUUUUUAUUUAGACAUUUUAAACACUUACUGAUGGACUGUGAGUGUAAAUAUUGAUAUAAAUUUUUGUCGGUAAAAUUGUUAAAUCUGAUAGUGGUAAUUAUUUUCCCUUCAUCAAUAAUGUUCUGAUUUAGAUACACACUCCUAUUGCAGAGAGCAUUGCAAAGAAAGUAAUGGAAUUGAAACCUAAUUAUCUAGGUUACUUAAUUAACUAAUGUCUACAGAGUGGUUGGCUGAUGGGAUGAUGCUGUUAAAAUUCGGAAUUUAAUGACGAAAAGAGAGGUGUUGGCCAAAUGAUAGGCAGAAGUUGUAUUGAGACUGUGGAAAGCAUCUUAGCAAUUUUCAAGUGUAAAUCAUCUUGGCAAUUUUCAAGGCUGAAGAAAAGCUUCAAGUUCUCAAGAUAUCCACAGAGCCCAAUUAUCUCAAGAAUCUGGUAAUAGUUUCGAAGAGCCCAAUUAACUAUAAAAAAUUGCAUUUAUGAGUGUUCAAGUACAAAACUAGCCUUGCAAGAAAAAUCCAUUGGCUUCGUUAACGGGGUAAGAUUGUAUUUUCACCAUGGUACAAUUAUUUUUAAAAUAUUAUGAGGGGUUAGAUUUUUUAUUUUUCUUUUUAUAUGCAAAGUAAAAUCACUACUUUAGCUUUGGAUUUAAAAAUUCUUAUGUUUUAAGCUCAAAGGUUUUUAAGUACUUUUAUUUUUCAGAAAUAGUGCAAUUACUUUUAUUCUUUUGAGGAAAAAAAAAUAUAACUCUCUUGUAAUGGUGUUUUGGUCAUUUUGCAUUGUUUUGUUGCAAUUUUGAAAGUUGCUUAGGGGUGUUUUUGUAAUUAUCAUAUAUUAAAUAUAAAAAAACUGUGUUGGUGCUUACAAAGUACAUGCUAGUGUGUGUGCGACCCCCAUGCUAUUCUGACGGUGCAUGAGGGGUUGUCCAGCUACCAAACACUGACUUCAUGGGCAGACGUUUGAAAGGUCUCGACAUCCCCGAUCAUAAGAGGUUACGUGAGUACCAUCAUUCAUAAUGGUUUGACGCUAGCGAUAAUUUCCCCCCUUUUUCUCUAUCUCACCACCUAGAUUUUUGUGACAACCCCUUAAAAAUUCAAGAAUAACCCUUUAAUUUGUUGGUUUUUCAGAUUUGAUCUAUUUUAUUUUGAUUUUGAUUUUUUAUUGAAUAAUCUAUAAAAUUGGUUUGCCUUUUUAAUUUCACAUUUCUUAGAUUUUUUUAUCUUUCAAAUUUGAUCCUCAUUAUGUUGAGUGCUAUUUUUAUGUUUGAGUUAUUUUUUUAAAUUGAUUUUGUUUUUCAAUUUCACAUUCCUUUGUUUUUUUUCCUAUCAAACUUAAUACAUGUUCUUUUAAUUACUAAUUUUUUUAGCCUUUACAAGUUUUUAUUUAGACAUUUUAAACACUUACUGAUGGACUGUGAGUGUAAAUAUUGAUAUAAAUUUUUGUCGAUAAAAUUGUUAAAUCUGAUAGUGGUAAUUAUUAUCCCUUCAUCAAUAAUGUUCUGAUUUAGAUAUUUUAGCUUGGAGUAUAUUUAUCAUGUCAAAUUAUAUUUGUUCCCAAUAUUAUCAUCAUUGAUCAUUUGAAUAAGAUUUGAAACUCUUUUCAAAUCUCAUUCCACCUUUCACAAGUAUUUAAAAAUCAAUAUUAUUUGAGAACAUGUAGAACAUUUUUUUUGUUUCACCCAGGAUAAUAAAUCCUCUUUUGAUCACUUAAAUACCUUCAUAUAGUUUAUGUUUUAUUCAAUGUAUGCCCAUUUGUUACCUUUACCAAGAUAACAUAUAACAAGAUCAAAACAUAACACUUUUUAUAUAAGAUAACUUAAUAAUCUCAAGUCUAAAAAUUACUUACACAAUUAUCACAUGAAGUUUUCUAUGGACACAUGUAAUAUCUCCAUAUGAAAUUAUUAUACGGUUCAAUUCAGUGUAUAUGUCAUCUGACAAGCACCUACAUAUUAGUUAUAGACCAGUUUGUGAGAUUGACUACUUCCUUUCAUAAAUAAAAAAACAUAAUAUAUAAUAGUCUCAACAGUUUUAAAAAAUAUCCAUUAUUAAGAGAGCAUUAACCAAGAACAUUUAGGAAAAAUACAUUGAUGCAAUAUGAAUCCUAUAAUUAUAAUAUCUUUAUAAUUUUAUUUGCAUUUUUUUUUAUGAAGUUUAUCUUUACUUUAAAUUCAUUUAUCAAAUAUUAAAUUCAUAAAUUAAAUAUAAAUAAUUAAAUAUUAAAUUAAAUAUUUUUUUAUUUAAUAUAAUUAAAUAUAUUCUACAUAAAUAAAAUAAUAUUACGUAUAACCAACUUAACAUUUGUAAAGUUAACUUGGUCAAACAGUAAACUUUUGGUCCAUUUUUUUGCCUUUAAACAACUUUGUAUAACUUGCUACUCAUUUGACAACUGGCCUCUGCUUGCCUCUUUCCUUCCUCUUUUUGAUUGAAGCUAUGUUGUAAAGGAAAAUAAUGAAAAUAACCCGUGCAAUAAUUGAUCAAGUUGUUUGUUUAAUAUUCAUGACCAAUACUUUCUCCCAAUUUCUAUGUACAUUCAUAAUAUGUUACCUCGUUUUAUCAAAUAAAUAAAUAAGUAAAUAAAAAUAGAAGGUAUAAUUACGAUGGUUAUAUUGUUAUUCUAUUUUUAAUUGUUACUUUAAAAACAAUUCUUGAUUUGCAUGUAGCUUUUAGACCAUAUAUUAAUAUUUAAUGAGUUUAAUAUAUGCUCUGGUUUGUGUUUUUUUAUUUUGUUAUAUUUACUCUUGUAAUUUCAAUUGUUCAUGACUACCUCUAUAUUUAUAAAUUUUAGCGAGUCAUCCCUCCAUCCCAUCUUGAUUUACUAAUAUAAAGUGUUUUUGAAAAUGUUGUAACAAUUAUGAUUCAAAUUUUUAUUUAUAAAUACAUCAAAAUAAUUUUUAUUUUAUUUUUAAAAAAUUAUUUUAUACAUUAGUACAUCAAAAUAAUUUAAAAAUAUAAAAAAAUAUUAAUUUUAAACAAAAAAAAUCAAAAUUAAAAAAACACGGUGCAAAACACGUUUUAAACAUGAUUAUAAAAAUCAAUGACUAAUAUCAAUAAGUUAUAGCUAAAUAAUAAAUUUAGAUAAAAAAAAAAAAGGAAAAAAAAUCCAAAAUGGAAAUUCAAUAAAAAAAAGCAUGGACUGAUUCCAAGCUAUAGCUUUAUAAGAACAAAUUACCAGGGGACAAGUCCCGAUUUUCUAAUAAUUCCAACUCCCUCCCACCUAUAAUAGUUUCCCAACUGUAAAUCUCCCUCUCAACGCACCAUCAAGGCACCCCAUUACAUUUUCUAGCUCGAGAUUUCUAGCACUAUAGACUAUGCAGGCACAUCUUUUUGGAUAUGCUCAGAAUUAGGGAUAACAUGAUACCCAAAUAUCUUACCAAACAUAGUCACAACCUUAUCUUAUAGUCACAACCUUAUCUUUUGAAAACUUAAAGAAGUUGAAAGCUUCUAGAAAAAACUAAAAAACAUAUUAAAAAAAUAAAAAAUCUAGAAAAAAAAUUAAAAUUUUGAUUAAAAAAACUGAAAUUAUAAAACUAACUUGUAAAAUCUAAAAUAUUGUCGAGGACUCUAAGACUAUCACACUAUUAGUAUCAUAAUAUAAAUUUAAUUUAAAAUGAUUAAUAAUUAAUAUUAAAAUUGAAUCCGUUGUAAAUUAUAAAAAUAAUACGAGUUAUCGAGACACCACUCACUUUAAUGGGGCUUAUAAGAGAUCCAUUGGAUCUUCCUUAAUUAGUUCCCUUAAAAAACAUGAAAUAUGAGAUAAGAAAAGAAACAUGCCUCGUAUCUUGAACUCAACAUAAAAAAUUGAAAUAAACCAUAGACCCACACAACUUAGCAGUAGAUGGUCAUGUAAUGGAAUUACUUGUAGAAGCAAUGUAUAUAAGAAAAUAUUGUAGCCCAGCGGUAGCAAGAGUUUUUUUGUCUGUUCAUUCUGGGUUCAAGUCUAAGCGUGUAUGCCUGUCACUCCCGCGGUGCUUUACAUGCUCACUUGGUUUGCAGGAUGUUCAGUGGGCCGUAGAUUAGUCGUGGUGCACGCAAGCUGACCCGGACACCCACGUAAAUAAAAAAAAAUAUAUAUAAAAAAAUAAUUGAUAAUAAAUUUGUAAUAAAACAUAUGAGCAUUCACUUGAUAUUGAAUUAUAAUUAUUAAAUGAUCAAUAUAUGUUUUUCACAUAAAUACAAAAUUAAUUAGUUAUAUAUAUAUGGAUGGUUUUAUUUUUUCUUUUUAACGAAUAUGUAUGGAUCAUAUAUUGAAACUAUGAUCUACAAGAACAAGAAGACACGCGAGCUCAAUUGGUUAUAGGGAAUAAUGCCACUUUAUUAUUAUAUUGGACGGCUUAAAAGUCCUGGAAGUGUCAACAACAGGCUGAAUAGGCUUAACGUUUUGGUGCCUUUAUGUAACCUACAUGUGUGGAAUUUGGAACCUUGGUUAGGGUUUGGAGAUCAUAAGCAAUCGUACACUUGGAAGUCUCCUUGUUGUAGAAGUAACCCAUACACUUACAGUCACUUGAACACUUUUUUCCACAGUCAUCCUCCUUCACUGCUACGCUCCCACUUGCAUAUAUGCUCAUGGAAUGAUCAACGCCUUCUAGUUUAUAGUAGUAAAAAUCCUUAGAACCACAGGCGGGUGGCUUUACAGGUUCGCAAUUCUUGCUCCAGCCGAGAAGACCACUUGGUAAGGGCAAGCAACACAUUGGCUGUCUUCACACAACCCAAACUUACCACAUCUCUCUGGUAACUGGCACUCACUCUCUGGAAAACCAUCCCUGGAGAAGAGAUUGAAGCUCACAUCCCAUGCCAUGUAGUCCACCUUAUUGUUGUAAGAGUAGAUCCUAAGGUUCCCAUCUAUCCCAAUUCUAAGAAUUGACAACGUGGCAUUGAAUUUAGGUCUGGCGUAUACGCUCCAACCACCAGAAGAUAAAUCCAAAGUCACCUCACUGGCCGAAUUGUCAUAAUUAUCUGGGUUACAAUUUAGAGUUACAUUUUGUAGACGAUCUUGGCGUGUUCCGAACGUGUAAUAGAAAUAUUGUUUAGGAGAAUUGGGACUCUUAUAGUACAUCACCAAUCUUUUGGAUUCCAUGACCAGGCUAUAGGCGCCAUCAGAGUUCUCCUUCUGUGAGGCUCGGCUCACAAGCCUCGUGACACCUCCAACCCGAAGAGAUUGACCC
This 12967-nucleotide long non-coding RNA is filed under the name Populus tremula. RNAcentral's name for it is "long non-coding RNA (PTRE_LNC000591)". Lineage: Eukaryota; Viridiplantae; Streptophyta; Magnoliopsida; Malpighiales; Salicaceae. The record is from RNAcentral.